This is a transfer RNA of 70 nucleotides. It matches the Rfam family "tRNA". From Rfam's summary of the family: Transfer RNA (tRNA) molecules are approximately 80 nucleotides in length. Their secondary structure includes four short double-helical elements and three loops (D, anti-codon, and T loops). The record is from Rfam.
GCCCGUCUAGCUCAAUGGUCGAGCGCUGGCUUCGAAAGCCACAGGUCGGUGGUUCAAUUCCACCCGGGCA